RNAcentral lists this long non-coding RNA (534 nucleotides) under Homo sapiens (human). RNAcentral's name for it is "novel transcript". Lineage: Eukaryota; Metazoa; Chordata; Mammalia; Primates; Hominidae. The record is from RNAcentral.
AGGAAGGAGUCCAGGGGUGUUUUAGCGUAAUCAUGCUGGCUCAUGCCGCUGAAGGAACAGCUGGGAUUGAGAACUCACUGCUGUGAGGAAACUUGCAAUUGUAUUCCCAUCCCACAGUCACCAGUGGACAGCAGAGCUACCCAUGACAUUCUGGAUGAAAACCUCUGUACUAGAGAAUUAUUCCUUGAUAUCUAUUUAUGGAGAAUUGCUUGUGGGACACCUGUGGAUACCAAAAUUAGUGGAUGCUCAAGUCCAGUAGAAGAAAUGGAGUACUAUUUCCAUAUAAUCUAUGCAUACCAGCAGGUCUACCUCCCACCAAGCGAUCAGCCUCCGUUCUGCUGACUCCAACAGGGUGCACCCUUUCUCUAAUUAACUAAAAUGGCUAUGGAAAGCAAAGGAGGCCUUGUGUUGGGUGAACCAAUUAUUUUGAAGGGUAUUAAGUCAUCAGAUUUACUUUUAUCUUGAUUGCAUUGUGGAAAUCGUGCAUAAUUAAUGGUGGGAGCUUAUUAGGAAAAUGAUUAGGCAAAUUACACA